This 520-nucleotide ribosomal RNA is filed under the name uncultured bacterium. Its description in RNAcentral is "partial 16S ribosomal RNA". It matches the Rfam family "Bacterial small subunit ribosomal RNA", at positions 28 to 507 of the family's 1533-position model. The record is from RNAcentral.
GACGAACGCUGGCGGCGUGCCUAAUACAUGCAAGUCGAACGCACUCUCGCUUAGAUUGUGGGCUUUUGCUCCUGCUUGAUAAACAUUUGAGUGAGUGGCGGACGGGUGAGUAACACGUGGGUAACCUGGCCUAAAGUGGGGGAUAACAUUUGGAAACAGAUGCUAAUACCGCAUAAAACCUAACACCGCAUGGUGUAGGGUUGAUAGAUGGUUUCGGCUAUCACUGUAGGAUGGACCCGCGCUGCAUUAGUUAGUGGGUGGGGUAAAGGCUCACCAAGACGGGGAGGCGUAGCCGAACUGAGAGGGUGAUCGGCCACACUGGGACUGAGACACGGCCCAGACUCCUACGGGAGGCAGCAGUAGGGAAUCUUCGACAAUGGACGAAAGUCUGAUGGAGCAACGCCGCGUGAGUGAAGAAGGUGUUCGGAUCGUAAAGCUCUGUUGUUGGAGAAGAAUGUAUCUGAUAGUAACUGAUCAGGUAGUGACGGUAUCCAAUCAGAAAGCCACGGCUAACUACGUG